CCUACGGGAGGCAGCAGUGAGGAAUAUUGGUCAAUCGGCGAGAGCCUGAACCAUCCAAGUCGCGUGAGGGAUGACUGCCCUAUGGGUUGUAAACCUCUUUUGUAUGGGGAGAAUAAGCUUUACGAGUAGAGUGAUGACAGUACCAUACGAAUAAGCCUCGGCUAACUCCGUGCCAUCAGCCGCGGUAAUACUGAGGAUGCGAGCGUUAUCCGGAUUUAUUGGGUUUAAAGGGUGCGUAUGCGGCAUUAUCAGUUAUUGUU
This 260-nucleotide ribosomal RNA is filed under the name uncultured bacterium. RNAcentral's name for it is "partial 16S ribosomal RNA". It matches the Rfam family "Bacterial small subunit ribosomal RNA", at positions 338 to 595 of the family's 1533-position model. The record is from RNAcentral.